GUGUGUGGAAUAAAACACACAGUUACAAAGAGGAUUGUGACCCUGUAAGAGGGAAAGGCGACUACAACGAAAAAGGACUGCAAAAAGUAAGGAAGAGCAGUAGAAGUGAAGCAGGAAAGAGUGUCAAGGAACAUUGAUCCAGAGCAAGAAAAUGAAGUUAAAAGCCCGUUCGGCUGGAUGUUCCCUAACCUUUUUUACAAGAAGUGUUAGAGGAAAGACAUGUCGGUCUGGAUAAACAAACUGGGACGACGCACCUGCCGAAAACGUGUAUCUGAUCUAUCUAAACAAAUGUGUGUCUGUUUAUCCAUAUAUGCAUUUAUAUAGGGAGACCUAGAGCAUCCCAACAAUAAUUGCAAUCCUGCAUCGAAGAGGUUACCAUGGCCAACUAUGCCAAGGAACAAAGGGACUGGGAGACCUAAGAAAAUCUCAACAUAGAGAAGGAAGAGUACAGAUUCAAGAAGAAAGGACAUGGUCCGCAUUCUUACUCCUGCAGGAUCAGUCUCAUCUGUGUAUCAAUGCGCGCACACACAGGCACACCACAUAUGUCCUUUGAACUGCUUCUUGGCAAAUACUGCUUAAACAGCCAAUUGUGCCAAGGCAUCAUAUCAGUAACUCUACUAGUGCCAGGAGGGAAGAGUGAAGGACUGAGAUAGAGGGGUAUUAUCAACAUCUACAUUUGACUGCCUAUAAACCAACCAGGAACAUCUUCUUCAGUAAGAAUAAUGAAAUGUCAUCAUGCUAAGAGAUUUGGACCGGCUCUAUAAAUUAAACAGUAUGCGAUGACAGCCUUGAGGCGGCAUAUUCUGAAUCUUCUUUGAAGAAGGAACAGGAGGUUAUGAGAAGGAGAAUCGUUUCCCAAGUUAUUAGUCACACUAAGCUCAUUGUCUUCUUUCAUUCAAGGUCAGAAAUCAGUGUGACUUUUGGUAAGAUAAACGGUUUUAUAAAUAUUUGACUGCAUAAAAAAUAA
Long non-coding RNA from Motacilla alba alba, 967 nucleotides. RefSeq lists it as uncharacterized. NCBI's taxonomy places the organism in Eukaryota, Metazoa, Chordata, Aves, Passeriformes, Motacillidae. The record is from RefSeq and is a predicted model, not a curated record. The transcript has 5 exons.